This 72-nucleotide transfer RNA is filed under the name Ailuropoda melanoleuca (giant panda). It matches the Rfam family "tRNA". From Rfam's summary of the family: Transfer RNA (tRNA) molecules are approximately 80 nucleotides in length. The record is from Rfam by way of RNAcentral. Lineage: Eukaryota; Metazoa; Chordata; Mammalia; Carnivora; Ursidae.
GCCUGGCUGGCUCAGUCAGUAGAGCGUGCGAUUCUUGAUCUUGGGAUGUGAGUUCAAGCCCCAUGUUGGGUG